GCAACAGGCCACCCUGCA
RNAcentral lists this non-coding RNA (18 nucleotides) under Arabidopsis thaliana (thale cress). Lineage: Eukaryota; Viridiplantae; Streptophyta; Magnoliopsida; Brassicales; Brassicaceae. The record is from RNAcentral.